AACCCGUGUCCCCUGCAUCGGCACGCGGACUCUCAACCACUGCGCCACCGGGGAAGCUCAGCAGCUCAGUCUCUUUGAGGAUGUCAAGGUGCAGCAUGAGUCUUUGAUGUGUACUCAAUUCAGGCAAACCUAGCAACUUGGAAGGUGUCAUAUACAUCAAGUUCAGAUCCGAACCAGAAUCCCACACUGACCAUGGGCUACAACUCCUGCCAUGCCAGAGAAGGCUUGAGAUAUUGAACCAUCCUAGCAUCCCUGGAAUA
Non-coding RNA from Delphinapterus leucas (beluga whale), 260 nucleotides. Lineage: Eukaryota; Metazoa; Chordata; Mammalia; Artiodactyla; Monodontidae. The record is from RefSeq and is a predicted model, not a curated record.